This 793-nucleotide long non-coding RNA is filed under the name Canis lupus dingo (dingo). Its description in RNAcentral is "lncRNA (ENSCAFG00020006195.1)". The record is from RNAcentral. Lineage: Eukaryota; Metazoa; Chordata; Mammalia; Carnivora; Canidae.
UUCCUUCCUUCAAACUUCACAAAUGCAGUUUUAAUCCCCUCCAAACCACCGCCAGCUGAGACGCCGGGACUGGAGCAACGUGUCGAACAACAUUAAGCCAGCAGGUCUGGAGCAGAAGAGAGUCCCUCUGCCUUUGUCCCAGUGAUGCCGGGCUCAAGGCUGUUUCUGCAGGGCUGCAAUCAAACUCCUUGAAUAACAAUUUAUAAAUACUCUGGGAAGCUUGGAGAAAAGACCUAGACUACAAAAAUUCACUGUUGCAUUCACAACUCAAAGAACAGUGAAACAGAUGGAAAGAGAAGACCUAGUGACAGAGGUGGAGUCCAGAGAAGAGUGAGGAAGGAUAAAACAUUUUGAUCCUCUUUACUUGCUCAGAUCUUUUGCAGUUAAUGAGUCCCCACGCAGCUGGACAGCUCCUCUCGGACACUGAGAACUCUAACCCCAAAAUGACCCCAAUUUGACACCGCAAGAUGAAAUUUUACCGCCUGUUAAAACCAUUUCCAGCCUGGGCAAAAGGAGCUGACUGUUGACGGAGGUGUGUGCCGCCUCCUGCGACCCCCAUCUCGUGCCAGUCUCCUGGGCCUGCCCCACCUACUUUUCCUUCACCCCAAAUGUGGAAGAACAGAGGAGCCUCGCAGCCUGGAUUGGGGGUGCAGAGGCUGAGACUGGAGCAUCAGUAAUCAGGCUAGAAAUCAGAAAGUGUGUGCACCUCCCUGCUUUGGAAUCGCUACUGUUGGACUGGCACAAUUGGACGAGAUUGGCCAAGACCCGACACCCUGAAUCACCUCCAACUUGA